Molecule: ribosomal RNA, 300 nt
Filed under: uncultured Deinococcus sp.
Lineage: Bacteria; Thermotogati; Deinococcota; Deinococci; Deinococcales; Deinococcaceae
Description: bacterial SSU rRNA
Rfam family: Bacterial small subunit ribosomal RNA
Source: RNAcentral
UCUAUCCGCGGCGCGGAAGCCGCGGUAGUACGGAGGAUUGCGGCGGUAGCUGGAGUCAUCGGUGUGAAAGGGACCGUAGGCGGGCUUAUAAGUCAGAGGUGAAAGCACUGAGCUCAACGGAUGAACUGCCUUUGAAACUGUAGGGCUUGAAUGUUUGUGAAGUAGCUGGAAUGUGUAGUGUAGCGGUGAAAUGCAUAGAUAUGACACAGAACACCGAUUGCGAAGGCAUGUUACUAACAAAUGAUUGACGCUGAUGGACGACAGCGUGGGGAGCGAACAGGAUUAGAUACCCGUGUAGUC